RNAcentral lists this transfer RNA (83 nucleotides) under Actinobacteria bacterium IMCC26256. RNAcentral's name for it is "tRNA-Leu". It matches the Rfam family "tRNA". From Rfam's summary of the family: Transfer RNA (tRNA) molecules are approximately 80 nucleotides in length. Their secondary structure includes four short double-helical elements and three loops (D, anti-codon, and T loops). RNAcentral also lists the same sequence under 3 other names. The record is from RNAcentral. Lineage: Bacteria; Bacillati; Actinomycetota; Actinomycetes.
GCCCGGGUGGCGGAACGGCAUACGCAGGCGGCUUAAAACCGCCCGCCCGAAAGGGCUUACGGGUUCGAGUCCCGUCCCGGGUA